This 465-nucleotide ribosomal RNA is filed under the name Vreelandella stevensii. RNAcentral describes it as "partial 16S ribosomal RNA". It matches the Rfam family "Bacterial small subunit ribosomal RNA", at positions 338 to 795 of the family's 1533-position model. Lineage: Bacteria; Pseudomonadati; Pseudomonadota; Gammaproteobacteria; Oceanospirillales; Halomonadaceae. The record is from RNAcentral.
CCUACGGGUGGCAGCAGUGGGGAAUAUUGGACAAUGGGGGCAACCCUGAUCCAGCCAUGCCGCGUGUGUGAAGAAGGCCCUCGGGUUGUAAAGCACUUUCAGUGAGGAAGAACGCCUGGUGGUUAAUACCCAUCAGGAAAGACAUCACUCACAGAAGAAGCACCGGCUAACUCCGUGCCAGCAGCCGCGGUCAUACGGAGGGUGCGAGCGUUAAUCGGAAUUACUGGGCGUAAAGCGCGCGUAGGUGGCUUGAUAAGCCGGUUGUGAAAGCCCCGGGCUCAACCUGGGAACGGCAUCCGGAACUGUCAAGCUAGAGUGCAGGAGAGGAAGGUAGAAUUCCCGGUGUAGCGGUGAAAUGCGUAGAGAUCGGGAGGAAUACCAGUGGCGAAGGCGGCCUUCUGGACUGACACUGACACUGAGGUGCGAAAGCGUGGGUAGCAAACAGGAUUAGAUACCCUAGUAGUC